UACGUAGGUGGCAAGCGUUGUCCGGAAUUACUGGGUGUAAAGGGAGCGUAGGCGGGCGGAUAAGUCAGCUGUGAAAACUAUGGGCUUAACCCAUAACGUGCAGUUGAAACUGUUCAUCUUGAGUGGAGUAGAGGCAAGCGGAAUUCCGAGUGUAGCGGUAAAAUGCGUAGAUAUUCGGAGGAACACCAGUGGCGAAGGCGGCUUGCUGGGCUCUAACUGACGCUGAGGCUCGAAAGUGUGGGGAG
RNAcentral lists this ribosomal RNA (245 nucleotides) under uncultured Oscillospiraceae bacterium. RNAcentral describes it as "partial 16S ribosomal RNA". It matches the Rfam family "Bacterial small subunit ribosomal RNA", at positions 524 to 768 of the family's 1533-position model. The record is from RNAcentral. Lineage: Bacteria; Bacillati; Bacillota; Clostridia; Eubacteriales; Oscillospiraceae.